UUGUCCGGAUUUACUGGGUGUAAAGGGUGCGUAGGCGGCUUUGCAAGUCAGAUGUGAAAUCUAUGGGCUCAACCCAUAAACUGCAUUUGAAACUGUAGAGCUUGAGUGAAGUAGAGGCAGGCGGAAUUCCCCGUGUAGCGGUGAAAUGCGUAGAGAUGGGGAGGAACACCAGUGGCGAAGGCGGCCUGCUGGGCUUUAACUGACGCUGAGGCACGAAAGCGUGGGUAGCAAACAGGAUUAGAUACCCUGGUAGUCCACGCUGUAAACGAUGAUUACUAGGUGUGGGGGGUCUGACCCCUUCCGUGCCGGAGUU
This 313-nucleotide ribosomal RNA is filed under the name uncultured bacterium. Its description in RNAcentral is "bacterial SSU rRNA". It matches the Rfam family "Bacterial small subunit ribosomal RNA", at positions 541 to 853 of the family's 1533-position model. The record is from RNAcentral.